Long non-coding RNA from Paramormyrops kingsleyae, 1890 nucleotides. RefSeq lists it as uncharacterized. The record is from RefSeq and is a predicted model, not a curated record. NCBI's taxonomy places the organism in Eukaryota, Metazoa, Chordata, Actinopteri, Osteoglossiformes, Mormyridae.
CGAACGUUACCGCCGCGCGACUCUGAGCGCGACGGACCGAGCCGGAGCGACUGAUACGCUUCUAUCUGCGAGCUGAAAGCGGCUUUUUUAUUAAAGGGGCGGCGGGGACUGUGCGGUCUGCGAAGGGGGAUUUGGGCGCUGAUUGUUAUUACCGCGCAGGAAGAGACAGGCUGCGGAAAGUGCAACCAUUAUAUCACUGAAUCUUUGUUAAGCAGGCCUCGGAAAGGCCUGACAGCAUAAUUAAUCUUGUGAUAUGAACAAAGAAACCAACUCAAUAGUACUGAAGACGCUUAUUAAAAAUACUAAAUACCUCUUUCUGCUUAAGAAGAAAGCCCUUUGAUACAGUGGGAAGGAUGGCACCAGGAGGGAAUAUAAUUCAAGCUGCUGUAAGACACAGGCCAUCCUUGACCAAGAUGGCCACCAUGUCUGCUUUGGGACCGUGGUGAUCUGUGAGGUGGGGUCUCUGUGGCUUCAUCGACUGACCGGUUAGCAUGAAAGGGAUCCUGGUUGAGGCGCCAAUUCCCUGCUUGCUGAGUGAUGUCACAAUGGGGGAGGGGGGACAAGACAAUGAGGCGCAACAGAACCCAGAAAGCCAUUUUGCUAGAUGGGAGAUGCAGCUCCAUCCAUCCGCCAUCUUGUGACUUCAUGGAGAUUUUAAUUUGAUCUGUUGUUUGGUAUGGAAUACAUUUCUGUUCUUAAGAAAAGGAAUCUAAAUUUAGAAGCUGAACUGACCGAUUAAUGGAUGGAUGAAGGUCGUUCAAUCAGUCUCAGUCAGUCGUCAUCGAUAUAUCAGUUCAAUGGCUAAAUAAAGACUCUGUAUAUAACCUUUUAGCAAACAUCUCUGCUGUUUAGCUGCUCUUGUGUUUUUUUAUGUGUUGAAUCAUACCUUCUGUUAAUGAAAGUUUAAUGACAAAAAUUCUGGCAUUUGGUAUAUUAACAUCAGGAUUAAAUAAUAUUACUUAGAUAAGUAAAUUAGUAUGUUCAACUAUGAAUUGAAAGGAAAAUAAACAAUUCUGACCAGAAUAAGUGUUUAGAAGAUGGAUGGAUGAAUGGAUAAGUGACAUUUUCAGAUGCUUAAAGAUGUUUUUAGAGAAGAAAAGUGGGAACUGUGAAGCACACCUGGGUGGGGCGGGGGGGCACGUCAGAGCUACGACACAGAGGGAUGAAGAUGGAUGCUGCGCUGCUGCAGGUCUUCCCAGCAGAAGAUGAAGAGGUAUUCUGGGAUAUGAACUGGAACCAGACUCAAGUAGAGAAUCUUAUAAAGAAACUGGGCUAAAGUCCUAUGAGUCAGGUGAAAAGCAAUGUCAAACGAACUGAAAUUGGAGGACCGCAAACAAAAGCCAAACUCACAGUCAACAUGAAGAUCACCUAUAACACAAAUGAGCCAUCAGAAAGGCUCAACCAGGAAGUAACCACAGCUGUCUGACCUUGUGACCUUCUCAGUUCACGACAAGGUCGUGGGAGGACAACCCCAACCGUGUUGGGCCUGAAUUGGGACGGCCACCCCCUGCUGCCUGGCAGGGUUUUGUGACAGUGCUUCAGAGAAUGGUCCCAGUAUGUGGUGACAACUAACAAAGCUGGAGGUAUUUCAGGCCCCCGGAGUCUCCCACACUUUUCAAAAUCUGCUGGCUCAGGGGAGACCUACAGUUGCACAGUCUGACAACAAGACUGAGUGAGAACUGCAGUCUAAGGGGUCACAAAGUGGGUCUAAGCAGAGCUCUGGCUCGAGCCUGGUAUCUGAAGGAGAGUCAGAUUCUGUCAGGCCGGUUCCCCUCAGAGAACAGACCUGGGAUGCAGUGCAAGUCAGCGUACAAACACGUCCGCUAGAACAAAUCAAGAAAUAAAAGCAACCUUUAGAUCUUGCACUGAUCUUACCAUAGCAUGUUCCUG